AGGCGGAACCUCUUCCCGCUGCUCCCGGAGGCCUUCAAGGGCGUCAAGCAGAUCGGGGUCAUCGGAUGGGGCUCACAGGGUCCGGCACAGGCCCAGAACCUGAGGGAUUCCUUGGUGGAAGCCAAGACUGACAUCGUCGUC
Long non-coding RNA from Hordeum vulgare subsp. vulgare (domesticated barley), 141 nucleotides. RefSeq lists it as uncharacterized. The transcript is spliced from 2 exons. NCBI's taxonomy places the organism in Eukaryota, Viridiplantae, Streptophyta, Magnoliopsida, Poales, Poaceae. The record is from RefSeq and is a predicted model, not a curated record.